This 497-nucleotide ribosomal RNA is filed under the name uncultured bacterium. Its description in RNAcentral is "partial 16S ribosomal RNA". It matches the Rfam family "Bacterial small subunit ribosomal RNA", at positions 28 to 507 of the family's 1533-position model. The record is from RNAcentral.
GAUGAACGCUGGCGGCGUGCCUAAUACAUGCAAGUCGAGCGAACAGACGAGGAGCUUGCUUUUCUGACGUUAGCGGCGGACGGGUGAGUAACACGUGGAUAACCUACCUAUAAGACUGGGAUAACUUCGGGAAACCGGAGCUAAUACCGGAUAAUAUUUUGAACCGCAUGGUUCAAUAGUGAAAGACGGUGUUGCUGUCACUUAUAGAUGGAUCCGCGCUGCAUUAGCUAGUUGGUAAGGUAACGGCUUACCAAGGCAACGAUGCGUAGCCGACCUGAGAGGGUGAUCGGCCACACUGGAACUGAGACACGGUCCAGACUCCUACGGGAGGCAGCAGUAGGGAAUCUUCCGCAAUGGGCGAAAGCCUGACGGAGCAACGCCGCGUGAGUGAUGAAGGUCUUCGGAUCGUAAAACUCUGUUAUUAGGGAAGAACAUAUGUGUAAGUAACUGUGCACAUCUUGACGGUACCUAAUCAGAAAGCCACGGCUAACUACGUG